ACAAGCCUGAGAAACGGCUAGUAGGACUAAGGUCUGCAGCAGGCGCGAAACUUACACAAUGCUAGAUUACAAUUAGCGAUGUAGUGAAGAAAAAUAACGAUGUACUUCCUUCUAAACAAGGUAGUACAAUUGGAAUGAGACGACUAUAAACCAGUUAGUCGAGUAACAAAUGGAGGGCAAGUCUGGUGCCAGCAGCCGCGGUAAUUCCAGCUCCAUUAGCAUACAUUAAAGUUGUUGCGGUUAAAAAGCUCGUAGUUGAAUUUUAGGCGGGCUCUAUUGGGAUGCAAUCGUUAAGACCUACUUGGUUUCGAUCAAGUUAGGUUGGUUGUCAUCGCCCUAUAGGAACCCGCUGUUUCGUCACUUAAUCGAGUGCGAAGCGGGCUGGUACAAGGAUUCAAUAUUCGCUAUUGUCCUGUUUCAGCAUGUUUACCUUGAGAAAAUUAGAGUGCUCACAGCAGGCAGUUGGGGUGUAAAAGCUCCUUUAUGCUUGAAUAAUGUUGCAUGGAAUAAUAGAAUACGGCCUCGGUUCUAUUCUGUUGGUCUUAUAGAACAACAAACAAGUUGGUUAAAGCGAUCAAAAGUCCAUUUGCGGAUGUGGUUCAUUGGUAGCUUUUUAGUUGCUGACUUUAACUUUAGUCUAGUUGUGUUACCUAGGGCCUUAAAAUCUUAGUGUCUCGCUAGCUUUAUGUUAGUCUUCUUAACUAUCUAGUUUUGCCUUUGUUCCAUUUAAAGCAUCCCUUAUUGGGCUAGCUUUCUAAUCAACUGAGGCAAUGGUUAAAAGAAAUAGUCGCGGCGGCAUCAGUACUGCAUCGUGAGAG
RNAcentral lists this ribosomal RNA (818 nucleotides) under Diptacus persicae. RNAcentral describes it as "bacterial SSU rRNA". It matches the Rfam family "Eukaryotic small subunit ribosomal RNA", at positions 389 to 910 of the family's 1831-position model. Lineage: Eukaryota; Metazoa; Arthropoda; Arachnida; Trombidiformes; Diptilomiopidae. The record is from RNAcentral.